Molecule: long non-coding RNA, 3020 nt
Organism: Oryzias latipes (Japanese medaka)
Lineage: Eukaryota; Metazoa; Chordata; Actinopteri; Beloniformes; Adrianichthyidae
Source: RefSeq, a predicted model, not a curated record
CCUUGUUCUUCAGCAGGUUUGAAGGAGAAACUCUGAAGUCCUCACAAGCCAACCAGAACUCCAGGUUCUCCUCACUGAACUCUGAACGAAGGAAGCCUCGAAAGGCCUGCAGGCCACCUGGGAGAGAAGGACAGUUCUGGUUUUUAGGAUCCUGCUCAGAGAAGACAUGAAGGAAACAACAAAACAGCUCUUCAUCAAGUGUUCCAGUUUGGAGAUAACUAGUCAUGGAGCCAGAUUAGUCUCAAAAGAAUCAUUUCAGUCCUACAGGGAAUGAUGUUCAUGAAAGAGGCAGAUCUUCCCUGCAUCUGAGGAUGGAAGCUGUGAGAAUGAAUGACAUCCACACGGCGCCCAUAUUCAAUCUCUGAUGAUCAACUCAAUGUUUCGGCUCAGGGUAAAGACCUCCCGCUAAAAGAUCACACUUUUUUAUGCUUUCCAGUUUCAUGUACGUUCAUUUUGAGCCUGAAACUCAACCAAACUUCUGUUUUUCUUUGGAUCUUCAUUUUACAGAUUCUAAAACCAAAAUGGCCUGAAAGUCAUCAGGUUUUCCAUAAAAGUUUUGACUCUGGUUCCACUCAUGCAGAGGGUUUCUGUUGGUGACCCACAAUUCUGUGGGGAUGAUCCUCCUGAACCCAGAGAGGCAGGAAACCUUCCAACCUGAAGGUCCUUUUUCAGCCAACAUGAACCAACGGAAAGAGUAGCAGCAACAUUUUGACAGUUUCAUUCCAAAAUGGCUUAAUCAGUUAUUCUGUAAAGGAAAACUGAGAUCAAACAGGUUCCUUCAAAUGCAGCCAGAAACUGAAGUCACUUUAGAAUUCAGUCAAAACUCUGAAAAUCCCCAUGAGAUGAUGUUUGUAAAAUAUGCACAGAAGCUUUUGUCCACAGAACUCAAUUACGCACAAAUGAGAGUACAUCAGUGAACCCUGAACCAGGAAAAUGUCCCGAAGAACCAAAGGACGUUUAAACCCAAAGUCACCAUGAGCAACGUACUAAUGACCUGGACCAGAAGAAGAGAGGAAUUUUUAAAGAAUGAAUGAUCAGAAACAGGAUGCUAGCUGUAAACUCACUGAAGUAAAACUCCAUCCACCCACCCAGACUUCCCUCUCCCCAGACAGCAGCUACGGUGUUCCCAGGCCAGUUGAGGGACAUAGUCUCUCCAGCGUGUCCUGGGUCUUCCCUGAGGUCUCUGCCCAGUGCGACCAGCCUGGAACACCUCCCCAAGAAGGCAUUCGGGCCAGAUGCAUGAGCCACCCCAACUGGCUCCGCUUGAGCUAAAGGAGCAGCAGCUCUCUCCUGGUGACUGAGCUCCUCCUAUCCGUAAGGGAACGGCCGGCCAUCCUGCAGAGGAAGCUGAUUUUUAUUUUUUGCAUGAGAAAAUGUAUUUUUUAUUUAUUUAACUAUUAUUUAACCAGGAAGAAAAAUCCUAUUCAGAUCUACUGAUAUAUUUUUCAAGGGAGUCCUCUUGGCUGAAUUAAAGUAAUAAAAGCUGAAUUUGCUAAAUGAAAAUAACAGAAUAUUUGCCAAUGAUACAAACACGCAUACACAGUCAUAAUCACGCAUAACCACGGUUUCAGAGCAACCAAUGAACCUAUGAAGCAUGUUUUGGACUGACACAUGAACCAGGAGAACGUGCAAACUUCACACAGAAAGAACUCAGCUGGGAUUUGAAUCUGUUUGUGUGAUGUCAGAGUACUAACCACUACACCACAUUGCAGCCCUUAGUUUAUUUCCAAAACCCCAAAGUAAAGCAUGAAGGAGCGCUGAAGACCAUGCAAAGGAACCAGAAGGAGGAUCUGGAUGUUUUUAUGGAGACGCACCAUGAGCUGAAUGUGUUUUAGUGUCAUGUUUAAAAAAGAAUUGAUUGUUCUUUGUUGUUUUUUAGUCCUGCUGAGUUGGGUUUUGGGCUGGGAUCAUGGCCAUUGGUCUGCUUGUGCUGCAGGUUUCAGAUCUUCAGGUGGUUGACCUCAUCACACCUUUAGCUUCUUUUUCAGCUUAGUCAGGUUUGAGUUUAAAGUUUGCAUUUGGGUGGAAAACAGGUGAGUUUUACAGUUUUUGUCAGCAGUUCAACAAACACCAGUCUGAGUGGAGCUCCCUUCUCUGCGGAGCGCCACCUGCUGGUCGCUUUACAGAGCAGAAGAUGAGGAAAAAGCUCAAACCUUUGUGGAGAAGAAGUCAAUCUCUUACUUUUGGUGUUCAGCAGGGUUUCCAGAUCCUGAAGUGUCUUUCCGUCGUGAAGCCUGAGGUCAGACCGACAGUCAGAACCAAAGCUGGUUUUCAUUCUUCUGAGCCUGAACGCAGCCAACUUACCGAUGCUUGUGAUGGGCAUCUGCCAGAUACUCACUUCUCCAGACAUGAAGAAGGCAGGGAGGAAAGGCCUUUACACAUCACUGCAGGUUAGGAGGGUAUCAAGAGGCUCUGUGCUGCAGCGGGGUCGCGCUCUGCCCCCCCUCCAGCUCUAGCUGCUCUUAUAUAGGUUGAGCUAUCUGCUGUGCCCAUCAGCUGCUGUCAGAGCUGCAGCUGGGACGCUGAGAUGAAGCAAAGCUGAUGAAGAUGAGGAUUUUCUGUCAGCAGCAGGAACAAAGGAUUAAAGAUGGGGGGCAGGUGAGGUCAGGGGACGCUGCAUGAUUAAAGGUGAGCAACACAAAGAAGAACAGGGUGAUGAAGGAGCAGCAGGUGGAGCGGAAGUAUCCACCAUCUGUGAAAAGAGGAGCUCUGCAUGUUUGAGGAGCAGCUGUUCGACUGUUAAAAAAAACAAACUACCCAUGUUUUUCUUCCCAUCAAAGGGCAAAGACCUCCACUGUUUCCGCUGCUCCCUUUUAUUCGGUGUAUAAUCAGUUUAGUUUGAGGAAGAGAAGCUACAACCUGGGUUCUUUGGGUCUCAGGAUUCUGAAAAGAGUGAAAAUAAAUGACGCAGUUUUCAAUGGAAGACAAGAACGGACAAGUCUGCUAAAAAUGUUCAGCUUGUUUGUUUUAAGAUGAUGACUUAUUAAGAUGGUAUCUCUAAUAAACAGUAAAAACAGAGA